AGACAGAGGGUGCAAACGUUGUUCGGAAUUACUGGGCGUAAAGCGAGUGUAGGCGGUUUCCUAAGUCGGGUGUGAAAGCCCCGGGCUCAACCCGGGAAGUGCACUCGAAACUGGGAGGCUAGAGUAUCGGAGAGGUUGGUGGAAUUCUCGGUGUAGAGGUGAAAUUCGUAGAUAUCGAGAGGAACACCGGUGGCGAAGGCGGCCAACUGGACGAAUACUGACGCUGAGACUCGAAAGCGUGGGGAGC
RNAcentral lists this ribosomal RNA (247 nucleotides) under uncultured bacterium. Its description in RNAcentral is "partial 16S ribosomal RNA". It matches the Rfam family "Bacterial small subunit ribosomal RNA", at positions 523 to 769 of the family's 1533-position model. The record is from RNAcentral.